Phalacrocorax carbo (great cormorant) is the source of this 501-nucleotide non-coding RNA. The record is from RefSeq and is a predicted model, not a curated record. Lineage: Eukaryota; Metazoa; Chordata; Aves; Suliformes; Phalacrocoracidae.
UGGGAUAGAGUUAAUUUUCUUCACUCUAGCUGGUACAGUGCUGUGGUUUUGAUUUACAUGGAAAAAAAAACCUGUUGAGAUAACACACAGAUGUUUAGGCUGUUGCUGGGUAGCGCUUGUACUAGUCAAGGACAUGUCUAGCUUCCCAUGCUCUGCUGGGUGCACCAGAAGCCGGGAGGGGAGGGGGGCACAGCUAAGAGAGUGGAUUCAAACUGACCAAAGGGAUAUUCCAUAUCAUGUAAUAUCAUGCCCAGUAUGUUAACUGGGAGGGGCUGGCCAGGGGAGGAGGAGGCAAUCGCGGCUCAGGGACGGGCAGUGUCGGUCGCCGGGUGGUGAGUGGUUGUAUCAUUUGUGUUUCCAUGUUUGUUUUUUUUCCUGUUUUCCCUUUCCCUUCCUUUUCCAUUUUAUUAUAUUAACAUUAUUGUCAUUAUUAUCAUAAUCAUUGGUACUAUUAUUAUCAUUUUAUUGUAAUCAUUAAACUGUGCUUAUCUCAACCCACAA